Molecule: long non-coding RNA, 459 nt
Organism: Rhipicephalus microplus (southern cattle tick)
Lineage: Eukaryota; Metazoa; Arthropoda; Arachnida; Ixodida; Ixodidae
Source: RefSeq, a predicted model, not a curated record
CACUAGAUCACCGCGGCGGGGCCGGCAGCAGUGAUUGAGUGCGUGCUAGUUAAUGAUGAUGAUAAUUUCCCAUCUGUCUCACACGGCAAACAUCAACCAUAACAGGGACCUUGUGCGCUUCCAUUUCUCACCUUUACCAGCUGGGAAUCGCCAUUGCGUACAGUAAUGUGCAAUGAAUCGCUGCACAAAAAUGGUAUGGGAAACGUUACUACUGCUCUUUCCAAAAACACUGCUGUGCAUCUAAAAACACUGGAUGUUUGAUAUUCCGAUGCUAGACAAUUUUUUUGAGGAGAACUGCAUAUAUAAACUAAUCUUGAAACAAUGCCACUAUGUUCCAAGUUGACUUGUGUGCAGUCCGUUUGCUAUAUUAUCUGUUCGAUGCUAAUUUGCUCUUAAACUGUAUAUUUGCUCAAUAUUUUUGGCUAUUAAUGGCAAAUAAAAGAGAAAUCCUCCAAACAU